This 771-nucleotide ribosomal RNA is filed under the name uncultured bacterium. Its description in RNAcentral is "bacterial SSU rRNA". It matches the Rfam family "Bacterial small subunit ribosomal RNA", at positions 8 to 796 of the family's 1533-position model. The record is from RNAcentral.
AGAGUUUGAUCAUGGCUCAGGACGAACGCUGGCGGCGUGCUUAACACAUGCAAGUCGAACGGAAAGGCCCUUCGGGGUACUCGAGUGGCGAACGGGUGAGUAACACGUGGGUGAUCUGCCCUGCACUUUGGGAUAAGCCUGGGAAACUGGGUCUAAUACCGAAUAGGACCAUGCACUUCCUGGUGUGUGGUGGAAAGCUUUUGCGGUGUGGGAUGAGCCCGCGGCCUAUCAGCUUGUUGGUGGGGUAAUGGCCUACCAAGGCGACGACGGGUAGCCGGCCUGAGAGGGUGACCGGCCACACUGGGACUGAGAUACGGCCCAGACUCCUACGGGAGGCAGCAGUGGGGAAUAUUGCACAAUGGGCGCAAGCCUGAUGCAGCGACGCCGCGUGAGGGAUGGCGGCCUUCGGGUUGUAAACCUCUUUCAGCACAGACGAAGCGCAAGUGACGGUAUGUGCAGAAGAAGGACCGGCCAACUACGUGCCAGCAGCCGCGGUAAUACGUAGGGUCCGAGCGUUGUCCGGAAUUACUGGGCGUAAAGAGCUCGUAGGUGGUUUGUCGCGUUGUUCGUGAAAACUCACAGCUUAACUGUGGGCGUGCGGGCGAUACGGGCAGACUUGAGUACUGCAGGGGAGACUGGAAUUCCUGGUGUAGCGGUGGAAUGCGCAGAUAUCAGGAGGAACACCGGUGGCGAAGGCGGGUCUCUGGGCAGUAACUGACGCUGAGGAGCGAAAGCGUGGGGAGCGAACAGGAUUAGAUACCCUGGUAGUCC